AUUGAACGCUGGCGGCAGGCCUAACACAUGCAAGUCGAGCGGAUGAAGGGAGCUUGCUCCUGGAUUCAGCGGCGGACGGGUGAGUAAUGCCUAGGAAUCUGCCUGGUAGUGGGGGAUAACGUCCGGAAACGGGCGCUAGUACCGCAUACGUCCUGAGGGAGAAAGUGGGGGAUCUUCGGACCUCACGCUAUCAGAUGAGCCUAGGUCGGAUUAGCUAGUUGGUGGGGUAAAGGCCUACCAAGGCGACGAUCCGUAACUGGUCUGAGAGGAUGAUCAGUCACACUGGAACUGAGACACGGUCCAGACUCCUACGGGAGGCAGCAGUGGGGAAUAUUGGACAAUGGGCGAAAGCCUGAUCCAGCCAUGCCGCGUGUGUGAAGAAGGUCUUCGGAUUGUAAAGCACUUUAAGUUGGGAGGAAGGGCGGUAAGUUAAUACCUUGCUGUUUUGACGUUACCAACAGAAUAAGCACCGGCUAACUUCGUG
RNAcentral lists this ribosomal RNA (484 nucleotides) under uncultured bacterium. Its description in RNAcentral is "partial 16S ribosomal RNA". It matches the Rfam family "Bacterial small subunit ribosomal RNA", at positions 30 to 507 of the family's 1533-position model. The record is from RNAcentral.